RNAcentral lists this ribosomal RNA (305 nucleotides) under uncultured bacterium. RNAcentral describes it as "partial 16S ribosomal RNA". It matches the Rfam family "Bacterial small subunit ribosomal RNA", at positions 508 to 809 of the family's 1533-position model. The record is from RNAcentral.
ACAGCAGCCGCCGCGGGAAUACGAAGGGGGCUAGCGUUGUUCGGAUUUACUGGGCGUAAAGCGCACGUAGGCGGAUCGAUCAGUCAGGGGUGAAAUCCCAGAGCUCAACUCUGGAACUGCCAUUGAUACUGUCGAUCUGGAGUAUGGAAGAGGUGAGUGGAAUUCCGAGUGUAGAGGUGAAAUUCGUGGAUAUUCUGAGGAACACCAGUGGCGAAGGCGGCUCGCUGGUCCAUUACUGACGCUGAGGUGCGAAAGCGUGGGGAGCAAACAGGAUUAGAGACCCCCGUAGUCCCUGUCUCUUAUAA